This 2923-nucleotide ribosomal RNA is filed under the name Klebsiella pneumoniae. RNAcentral's name for it is "23S ribosomal RNA". It matches the Rfam family "Bacterial large subunit ribosomal RNA". Lineage: Bacteria; Pseudomonadati; Pseudomonadota; Gammaproteobacteria; Enterobacterales; Enterobacteriaceae. The record is from RNAcentral.
GGGUUGUGAGGUUAAGCGACUAAGCGUACACGGUGGAUGCCCUGGCAGUCAGAGGCGAUGAAGGACGUGCUAAUCUGCGAAAAGCGUCGGUAAGGUGAUAUGAACCGUUAUAACCGGCGAUGUCCGAAUGGGGAAACCCAGUGCAAUUCGUUGCACUAUCGUUAACUGAAUACAUAGGUUAACGAGGCGAACCGGGGGAACUGAAACAUCUAAGUACCCCGAGGAAAAGAAAUCAACCGAGAUUCCCCCAGUAGCGGCGAGCGAACGGGGAGCAGCCCAGAGUCUGAAUCAGCUUGUGUGUUAGUGGAACGGUCUGGAAAGUCCGACGGUACAGGGUGAUAGUCCCGUACACCAAAAUGCACAGGCUGUGAACUCGAAGAGUAGGGCGGGACACGUGGUAUCCUGUCUGAAUAUGGGGGGACCAUCCUCCAAGGCUAAAUACUCCUGACUGACCGAUAGUGAACCAGUACCGUGAGGGAAAGGCGAAAAGAACCCCGGCGAGGGGAGUGAAAAAGAACCUGAAACCGUGUACGUACAAGCAGUGGGAGCACCUUCGGGUGUGACUGCGUACCUUUUGUAUAAUGGGUCAGCGACUUAUAUUCUGUAGCAAGGUUAACCGUAUAGGGGAGCCGCAGGGAAACCGAGUCUUAACUGGGCGUUAAGUUGCAGGGUAUAGACCCGAAACCCGGUGAUCUAGCCAUGGGCAGGUUGAAGGUUGGGUAACACUAACUGGAGGACCGAACCGACUAAUGUUGAAAAAUUAGCGGAUGACUUGUGGCUGGGGGUGAAAGGCCAAUCAAACCGGGAGAUAGCUGGUUCUCCCCGAAAGCUAUUUAGGUAGCGCCUCGUGAAUUCAUCUUCGGGGGUAGAGCACUGUUUCGGCUAGGGGGUCAUCCCGACUUACCAACCCGAUGCAAACUACGAAUACCGAAGAAUGUUAUCACGGGAGACACACGGCGGGUGCUAACGUCCGUCGUGAAGAGGGAAACAACCCAGACCGCCAGCUAAGGUCCCAAAGUCAUGGUUAAGUGGGAAACGAUGUGGGAAGGCACAGACAGCCAGGAUGUUGGCUUAGAAGCAGCCAUCAUUUAAAGAAAGCGUAAUAGCUCACUGGUCGAGUCGGCCUGCGCGGAAGAUGUAACGGGGCUAAACCAUGCACCGAAGCUGCGGCAGCGACACUAUGUGUUGUUGGGUAGGGGAGCGUUCUGUAAGCCUGCGAAGGUGACCUGUGAGGGUUGCUGGAGGUAUCAGAAGUGCGAAUGCUGACAUAAGUAACGAUAAAGCGGGUGAAAAGCCCGCUCGCCGGAAGACCAAGGGUUCCUGUCCAACGUUAAUCGGGGCAGGGUGAGUCGACCCCUAAGGCGAGGCCGAAAGGCGUAGUCGAUGGGAAACAGGUUAAUAUUCCUGUACUUGGUGUUACUGCGAAGGGGGGACGGAGAAGGCUAUGUUAGCCGGGCGACGGUUGUCCCGGUUUAAGCAUGUAGGCUGGUUGUCCAGGCAAAUCCGGAUAAUCAAGGCUGAGGUGUGAUGACGAGGUACUACGGUGCUGAAGUAACAAAUGCCCUGCUUCCAGGAAAAGCCUCUAAGCAUCAGGUAACAUUAAAUCGUACCCCAAACCGACACAGGUGGUCAGGUAGAGAAUACCAAGGCGCUUGAGAGAACUCGGGUGAAGGAACUAGGCAAAAUGGUGCCGUAACUUCGGGAGAAGGCACGCUGGUGUGUAGGUGAAGUCCCUGCGGAUGGAGCUGAGACCAGUCGAAGAUACCAGCUGGCUGCAACUGUUUAUUAAAAACACAGCACUGUGCAAACACGAAAGUGGACGUAUACGGUGUGACGCCUGCCCGGUGCCGGAAGGUUAAUUGAUGGGGUUAUCCGUAAGGAGAAGCUCUUGAUCGAAGCCCCGGUAAACGGCGGCCGUAACUAUAACGGUCCUAAGGUAGCGAAAUUCCUUGUCGGGUAAGUUCCGACCUGCACGAAUGGCGUAAUGAUGGCCAGGCUGUCUCCACCCGAGACUCAGUGAAAUUGAACUCGCUGUGAAGAUGCAGUGUACCCGCGGCAAGACGGAAAGACCCCGUGAACCUUUACUAUAGCUUGACACUGAACAUUGAGCCUUGAUGUGUAGGAUAGGUGGGAGGCUUUGAAGCGUGGACGCCAGUCUGCGUGGAGCCAACCUUGAAAUACCACCCUUUAAUGUUUGAUGUUCUAACGUUGGCCCCUGACCGGGGUUGCGGACAGUGUCUGGUGGGUAGUUUGACUGGGGCGGUCUCCUCCCAAAGCGUAACGGAGGAGCACGAAGGUUAGCUAAUCCUGGUCGGACAUCAGGAGGUUAGUGCAAUGGCAUAAGCUAGCUUGACUGCGAGCGUGACGGCGCGAGCAGGUGCGAAAGCAGGUCAUAGUGAUCCGGUGGUUCUGAAUGGAAGGGCCAUCGCUCAACGGAUAAAAGGUACUCCGGGGAUAACAGGCUGAUACCGCCCAAGAGUUCAUAUCGACGGCGGUGUUUGGCACCUCGAUGUCGGCUCAUCACAUCCUGGGGCUGAAGUAGGUCCCAAGGGUAUGGCUGUUCGCCAUUUAAAGUGGUACGCGAGCUGGGUUUAGAACGUCGUGAGACAGUUCGGUCCCUAUCUGCCGUGGGCGCUGGAGAAUUGAGGGGGGCUGCUCCUAGUACGAGAGGACCGGAGUGGACGCAUCACUGGUGUUCGGGUUGUCAUGCCAAUGGCACUGCCCGGUAGCUAAAUGCGGAAGAGAUAAGUGCUGAAAGCAUCUAAGCACGAAACUUGCCCCGAGAUGAGUUCUCCCUGAGACUUUAAGUCUCCUGAAGGAACGUUGAAGACGACGACGUUGAUAGGCCGGGUGUGUAAGCGCAGCGAUGCGUUGAGCUAACCGGUACUAAUGAACCGUGAGGCUUAACCUUACAACGCCGAAG